This 1732-nucleotide long non-coding RNA is filed under the name Canis lupus familiaris (dog). RNAcentral's name for it is "lncRNA (ENSCAFG00000053006.1)". The stretch from base 542 to 610 matches the Rfam family "tRNA". The record is from RNAcentral. Lineage: Eukaryota; Metazoa; Chordata; Mammalia; Carnivora; Canidae.
GCUGGAGAGCAGGCUGCAGCCACUGACACUGCACCAGGCAGCUAAACCCAACUGUCUUACUGGCCUGAAGAAUAGUUUAGUAUAAAAUAAAUAUUAAAUAUAAUAUUAAAUUAAUAAUACAUUAAUAAUUAAUUAAUUAAUUAAUAAUAUUAAAUAUUUAUAGGGAGAGUAACCACAAUGAUCUGAAAGGAGAGUGCUAGGGAAGUUCCUUCCCCCAAGUUACAUCUAUAAAUUCAGCCCAAGUCUCUUGCUGACCAGGACGCUAUGGAUGUGUGGGGCCAACUCAAAGCAGGACUGAAGAGAUCUGGAUUUACAGUUACCCACUGCAGCUGGUCGGGUCUAGCAAAUACAAAUAUCGCCACAAUAAGACCUUUUCACAUCCUUUGGAGGAAUAUAACAGGAUCCAGAAUGUUCUACAAUGUUAACAGAAUAUCCAGACACAUUUCAAAAUUACCUAAUUAGUAUACAUAGAAUUAGGGAAAUGUGACUCAUUCUCAAGGGAAAAGAUAAGAUGACCAAGAGAACCCAAAUGUUAGGGGGUGCCUCGUUGGCUCAGUGGGUAGAGCAUGCAACUCUUGCAAGGUCGUGAGUUCAAACCCCGUGUUGGGUGUGGAGCCUACAUUAUUUUUUUUUUAAUUUUUAUUUAUUUAUGAUAGUCACAGAGAGAGAGAGAGAGAGACAGAGACACAGGCAGAGGGAGAAGCAGGCUCCAUGCACCGGGAGCCUGACGUGGGAUUCGAUCCAGGGUCUCCCGGAUCGCGCCCUGGGCCAAAGGCAGGCGCCAAACCGCUGCGCCACCCCGGGAUCCCUGGAGCCUACAUUAAAAAAAAAAAAAAAAAAAGUGUUGGAAUUAGACAAGGAUUUUAAGCAACUAUUUAUUAUAACUAUGCUACAACAGGUAAAAGGAAAUUACCUGUGUAAUGCUGAAAAAUGAGAAAUCUUGGCAGAGAAAUAGAAAAUAUUAAAGAACAAAAUGGAUAUUCUAACCCAGAAAAUACAGUACCCGCAAUUUUAGUGGUAAACCUAAUAGCAGAAUGGGGAUGAGAGACUUCAUGCACUGGAAAUACAUUGGUAGGAAUUAUCCAGUCUAAAAAGAGGCACAGAUUUUUUUAAAGUCUUGAAAGCAGCCUGAUAAAAACAACACAUUACAAGCAGGGGGACUGUGAUUCAGGUGUUCCUGGAGUUCUCCAGUAAAGAUGGCGAUCAGAGACGGAUCAAGAGGCUGAAGAGAAACCGUCAACCCCAGAAUUCUAUAACCAGUUAAAACAAGUAUUUUCGGAUAAAAGAAGCCUAAGAGAUCUUGUCACUGGCAGAAAUACACUAUACAAAAUGCUAAUGGAAGUUCUUCAACCUUGGGGGAUGUUAUCCCAGGAGAAACUUGGAACUUCAGGCUGCAUCGAAGAGUACUUUCUAUAAAUGGUAACCCGGUGGUGAAAGAUUGCUAAGGACUCUCUAGCCUCUUAGAUUUCUUUGCAAUCUAUAUGAUUUUGAAAGCAAAAGUUAUGCCACUACCUUGUGGGAUUUGUGAUGUGUGGAGAUGUAAGCCGUGUCACCACGAUGGCGCCAAAUGGUGGGAAGGGUCUGAAGGACCUGUGGCCUAUGCAGUGGCCGAUUCUACAAUGUAAGUGAAGUGGUACAAUACGGACCCCAAAUAGACCGAGGAGAGGUAGGUACUACUAAAAGCUGAACUGCUGAGAGCAAAAUCUCGGAGGAAGUAUUCAAAUAAUCCACG